UCAACUUGCUGAAUGCAGCUCCUGCCAAGUGUGGAAUGCAGCUCACGAUUCAUAGUUUCCAACUCCAACACUCGACGCUGCAGCGUAUUAAUCACUUUACCAACUGUUCCUGUCUCUUUGUCGACCGCUAUUCCCACAUCGUACCACGCAAAAGAUCCGCAUCCUCUGGAAUCUUGUACAAUGCAGCAUUAGUCAGCCAACAUAGCAACUACUGUAUGAUCUGUAUGAUUUAGUUAGAUUAUAAGCAUACGAAAUGGAGAACUACUAAUUACACAUGAGAUAAUGGCUGGAAAGAAUGAACAUAAGUGAUGAUAAGUCGAAUGAAUUACAUGACUUUCUCAUAUUGAUAUCUUUUCUUCCAUAGGACUGUUAAUGAUGAUAAGGACGAUGAACUGGAAUUCUAUCGUGAAUGAAUCAUGUGAGAAAUAAGGAUGAUGUGGAAGUGGGUUGUGAAAUUUGUUAAGAGGAUAGGGUAAUGUUAAUAAAUUGUGUUUGUGUAUCAGUUUUAGGUAUGAGAAAAAUAAAAGAGUGAUGAGUUUGGCAAUUAAAAAAAGUUUGAAAGCGAAUGUGAGAUUGAAAUUUAAUAUUCGAUUAAUUGUGAACCGUUGAGAUCGAAAGCUCAAAAUGAACGUUGAUAAUAUGUGUACGUUGCCAAAACAAAGUAAGCACACCGAAAAUUUCAGUAUACCAGGUAUACUGAAGAAUUCACCCUUAUUAAGUGACACCUCACACUCCACAUCACAUAGCAAUUGCUAAAAAAAUCAGGGAUGUAGAUGCUCUUAUGGUAUAAUUUCUGAAUAAAUUCCACAAUAAUUCUAUUAAUUACGGUAAAAUUGAAAUGAUUUUGAUUAUCCUUCAAAUCACCUUCAUGCUUAGGCAUUCUCCACAAUGACUUGUUUUAACUCAAAGUAAGGUGAAUUUGAGUUCGUUAUGUAAGAUAUAACUGUCGAUAUGUAAGGCUUACGUAACGUAACAUAAGUUAUAUCUUAUGUAACAAGCAAAAUUAAGCAUGUUAUGUAAGAGUAAAGACCGUUACUUAAAGCUUACGUAAUGAUAGUUAUUCCUUACGUAACAUAUAAAACUAAGUCAGUUACGUAAAGGGUAAAGAUCGUUAUAUAAGGCUUAUGUAAGAAUUGUUUUUCAUUACAUAACAUGUAAAAUUAAGUCUUUUAAGAAAGAGUAAAUGUUGUUACAUAGGGUUACACAACGCCAGUUAUUCCUUCCGUAACAUUUAUACGUAAUCAUGUUACGUAAGAGUAAAGGCUGUUACGUAACUAUAGUUACUCCUUACGUAAGGCUUACGUAACAUAAGCUAUUCCUUACGCCUGUUACGUAGGAGUAAAGGCCACUACGUAAGACUUACGUAACAUACAAAAUUAAGCCUAUUACGCAAGAGUAAAUGCCGUUACGUAAGGCUUACGUAACCACAAUUAUAUCAUACAUAACGAACUCAAAGUUACCCUGCUUUACGUUAAAGCAAGUCAUAGUAAAAAAUGUCCGUUCGAAUAAUUUUUGUAUAUUCUUUUAAAAAAUGAUUCUCAGAUAUCUUUUAAACCGGCUAUAUAUAAUAAACACAUAUGAUUGAUAGAGGGUGGCUUAUAUAACAAACAAAUCAAAGGUCAAGGAGCUAGCUAACUGGUAACUAAACCAUGUGACCUAUAUUUCAAUAACAGAGACGAAAGGUUAACAUCUCUGCAUCUCAUCUGAUUAGUGGAGAAACGGAGAAAAACACAAUUAAAAAUUUGAUGGGUACCUUAGCGCUGCCAGAUCCCACCGUCACCGUCGCCAAUUUAAUAAAUAGAGAAGAUAGAAUAACCGCCACCGGAGGAGGAGAGGCGGAGCAAACAAAACAAACUACUAAAAUCGAUAGCAUAAAACAAACCAGCAAACAAAAGUGACUCACUCGCCCAUUCCCUGCUGCAAAUUGCAGGCACCACUAUUCCCACAGACUACAAAGUACUGAGCUCCACCCUCCCUUCCUCUCCCAGAUCUCCGCCACCCUCAUGAAAUUCCCAUUUCUCAACCACUCCCUUCCUUCGGUCGUCCAUCGCACUCUGCUCAUCACUCUCUUCUUCUAGCAUUCUCCCAGUUGGUGGGUAGGUGGGGUGGGUGGGUUGGUGGGUUAUGGAGAUUUCCCUAGUGGGUUAUGGAAGAAAAACAGAGAACCCAUCUCUUCUGUAGCGAUUUUCUUCCUUGAUGGAUCUGAAGAGGAAGAGGGGGAAUUGAAAUCUUUGGGCUUUGGCUUUUGGCGGCAAUGAAAAGGUCGGUGCGUCCUGUCUUUACUAUUCUGCUCUUCGUUCUCUUUGCUCUUACUCUCAGCUGCCGAAUUUUGAUCCGCCGGACUUUGUUCGCCUCACUCGACCUGCACAACGAUGUAAUUUUCAAUUCCGAAAAUGCCGCCGCUACUACCAUCAACUCCACGCUGUUGAGAUACGCCGCCGUGGAUUUGAGCGAGUCCAAGACUAAGCAAGAGAUUGAGCAGUUGUUGGAAGGAAAUUUCGC
Molecule: long non-coding RNA, 2502 nt
Filed under: Linum usitatissimum (flax)
Lineage: Eukaryota; Viridiplantae; Streptophyta; Magnoliopsida; Malpighiales; Linaceae
Description: long non-coding RNA (LUSI_LNC008151)
Source: RNAcentral